RNAcentral lists this ribosomal RNA (656 nucleotides) under uncultured bacterium. Its description in RNAcentral is "bacterial SSU rRNA". It matches the Rfam family "Bacterial small subunit ribosomal RNA", at positions 135 to 809 of the family's 1533-position model. The record is from RNAcentral.
ACCGGGGGAUAACAGCUGGAAACGGCUGCUAAUACCGCAUAAGCGCACAGAGCUGCAUGGCUCGGUGUGAAAAACUCCGGUCGUAUGGGAUGGGCCCGCGUCUGAUUAGGCAGUUGGCGGGGUAACGGCCCACCAAACCGACGAUCAGUAGCCGGCCUGAGAGGGCGACCGGCCACAUUGGGACUGAGACAUGGCCCAAACUCCUACGGGAGGCAGCAGUGGGGAAUAUUGCACAAUGGGGGAAACCCUGAUGCAGCGACGCCGCGUGAGCGAAGAAGUAUUUCGGUAUGUAAAGCUCUAUCAGCAGGGAAGAUAAUGACGGUACCUGACUAAGAAGCCCCGGCUAACUACGUGCCAGCAGCCGCGGUAAUACGUAGGGGGCAAGCGUUAUCCGGAUUUACUGGGUGUAAAGGGGGCGUAGACGGCAAGGCAAGUCUGAUGUGAAAACCCAGGGCUUAACCCUGGGACUGCAUUGGAAACUGUCUGGCUCGAGUGCCGGAGAGGUAAGCGGAAUUCCUAGUGUAGCGGUGAAAUGCGUAGAUAUUAGGAAGAACACCAGUGGCGAAGGCGGCUUACUGGACGGUAACUGACGUUGAGGCUCGAAAGCGUGGGGAGCAAACAGGAUUAGAUACCCUGGUAGUCCACGCCGUAAACGA